This 468-nucleotide ribosomal RNA is filed under the name uncultured bacterium. RNAcentral describes it as "partial 16S ribosomal RNA". It matches the Rfam family "Bacterial small subunit ribosomal RNA", at positions 28 to 507 of the family's 1533-position model. The record is from RNAcentral.
GACGAACGCUGGCGGCGUGCUUAACACAUGCAAGUCGAACGGAAAGGCCCUGCUCUUGCGGGGCGCUCGAGAGCCGAACGCGUGAGUAACACGUGAGUAACCUGCCCCUGACUUUGGGAUAACACCUGGAAACUGCGGCUAAUACCGGAUAGAAGCUCCUGCUGCAUGUUGGUGGUUGGAAAGCUUCGGCCGUGGUGGAUCGACUAGCAGCUUAUCAGCCUGUUGGUGGAGUAGUUGCGUACCAAGCCUGUGACGGAUAGCCGGCCUGAGAGGGUGACCGGCCACAUUGGGACUGAGAUACGAACCAGGGGCCUACCGGAGGCAGGAGUGGAAAAUUUUACGCAGUAAGGGCAAGUGUGAUACAACAAUCUCCCGUGCGUAAAGCAGUGUUAUGGGUAGUAAACAGAUUUCGACUGAAGCGAACAGUGAGUGACGGUAGUGGGUCAAGAAGCAACGGCUAACUACGUG